UCGCUAGUAAUCGCGGAUCAGCAUGCCGCGGUGAAUACGUUCCCGGGCCUUGUACACACCGCCCGUCACACCACGAGAGUUUGCAACACCCGAAGUCGGUGAGGUAACCUUUAUGGAGCCAGCCGCCGAAGGUGGGGCAGAUGAUUGGGGUGAAGUCGUAACAAGGUAGCCGUAUCGGAAGGUGCGGCUGGAUCACCUCCUUUCUAAGGAUAUAUGGAGCAGCGUGCGUUUUCGUCUUGUUUAGUUUUGAAGGAUCAUUCCUUCAAGACAUGUCUCUAGCGAGACAGGAUUGUUCUUUGAAAACUAGAUAACAAUAAGUAAUACAUUCACAUUGAAUGCAAUGCAAAGUUCAUCACACAUAGUGAUUCUUUCUAAAGUAAGAAAUGGUUAAGUUAGAAAGGGCGCACGGUGGAUGCCUUGGCACUAGGAGCCGAUGAAGGACGGGACUAACACCGAUAUGCA
RNAcentral lists this unclassified non-coding RNA (462 nucleotides) under Bacillus subtilis. RNAcentral's name for it is "partial contains 16S ribosomal RNA, 16S-23S ribosomal RNA intergenic spacer, and 23S ribosomal RNA". The stretch from base 1 to 203 matches the Rfam family "Bacterial small subunit ribosomal RNA", at positions 1332 to 1533 of the family's 1533-position model. The record is from RNAcentral. Lineage: Bacteria; Bacillati; Bacillota; Bacilli; Caryophanales; Bacillaceae.